This 680-nucleotide long non-coding RNA is filed under the name Nicotiana benthamiana. RNAcentral describes it as "long non-coding RNA (NBEN_LNC040278)". The record is from RNAcentral. Lineage: Eukaryota; Viridiplantae; Streptophyta; Magnoliopsida; Solanales; Solanaceae.
AGGGAAUUUGGCUGCAUCAAAAAAUUUCAGGUCCAUUACCUCUUCAAAUACAUCAAGAAGAUAUGCCAACCAACCAAGUGAAAGGUCCAGGUAUCCUAUUUCCUCUCCACCAAAAAAUGUCUUCUCUUUCAGUUGCUCUUCAAGGAGUUCUAGAUUUUGUACUGCUGGACCAAGAGCUUCAUUUUUGUCGUUUCCUUGUCCUGUGAAAACACUCCAUAUUGAUGGCAGAAGCUGCAGAUGAAAAAAGCAUCAGCGAAUAUUUUUCUCAUUCUUGAUAAGGUAAGCUUAUUGUUAUAACUGGAAAUGUCUACUAUCUGAGUAAUACUCUCUAUUAUCUUGUCACUCUCUUCACAUAUUAAUACUGAUACAUUAAGAUAGUUGACUGAAAUUCCUCUUCUCUUUGUUCUGAAUUUAGAUUAAUGGUUUCUUACCUUGUCCUCCCCAAAUUUUGCCCAAAAACGCGCUAUGGCUUUCUCGUAAGGGUCCUGAGGUAACAAAGGAGCUUCCUUCCAAGUCUCGUCAAUAUACUCGAGAAUUACCAGUGAUUCACAGAUUGGUUUGCCUUUGUGUACAAGCACAGGAAUCUUUUUGUGAACAGGAUUAUGCUGCAGGAGUUCAGGGCUCUUCUGACUUAAAUCUUCAUAAAUUGUGUCAUAUCGGAUCCCUUUGAUGUGUAGUGC